This 468-nucleotide ribosomal RNA is filed under the name uncultured bacterium. RNAcentral's name for it is "partial 16S ribosomal RNA". It matches the Rfam family "Bacterial small subunit ribosomal RNA", at positions 28 to 507 of the family's 1533-position model. The record is from RNAcentral.
GACGAACGCUGGCGGCGUGCUUAACACGUGCAAGUCGAACGGAAAGGCCCUGCUUUUGUGGGGUGCUCGAGUGGCGAACGGGUGAGUAACACGUGAGUAACCUGCCCUUGACUUUGGGAUAACUUCAGGAAACUGGGGCUAAUACCGGAUAGGAGCUCCUGCUGCCUGGUGGGGGUUGGAAAGUUUCGGCGGUUGGGGAUGGACUCGCGGCUUAUCAGCUUGUUGGUGGGGUAGUGGCUUACCAAGGCUUUGACGGGUAGCCGGCCUGAGAGGGUGACCGGCCACAUUGGGACUGAGAUACGGCCCAGACUCCUACGGGAGGCAGCAGUGGGGAAUAUUGCACAAUGGGCGGAAGCCUGAUGCAGCAACGCCGCGUGCUGGAUGACGGGCUUCGGGUUGUAACCCGCUUUCGCCUGUAACGAAGCGGGAGUGACGGUAAUGGGUAAAGAAGCACCGGCUAACUACGUG